Planococcus citri (citrus mealybug) is the source of this 848-nucleotide long non-coding RNA. RefSeq lists it as uncharacterized. The record is from RefSeq and is a predicted model, not a curated record. Lineage: Eukaryota; Metazoa; Arthropoda; Insecta; Hemiptera; Pseudococcidae. The transcript has 3 exons.
AUUAAAAGUUUCAUUUUGCAAUUCAAACUGCUGUUGUUGAUUGAAGUAAGAUGUUGUGUUCAUUUACAUCAACUAGUAUAUUUUUCAUUUGGUUUGUUGCACUGCCAUGCACAACAAAACCAAUAAUUGAUAAACAGGAAAAGGAAUUUACUGAAAAAGUAUCAAAAUUCAAGCGAAUUCUUGGGAUGAUUGCUGAUGGCUUGAUCUCGGAUAAGACAAAGCAUAUAUUAAUGGGAGAGUUGAUAGAUAAAUAUGAAACGGCAUUUGAAAAUUACAGACAGGAAUCUGAAAAACAUCAGCAGAAUUUCAGACAGGAAUCUGAAAAAUAUCAGCAGUUAUAUAACAAAACUCUUCAUUUGGAAGCAGAAAAAUUGGCACUUAAAAAGAUUUCGUUUCUCCUUGGAACGCGCACUCGAAUUGAAGAUUUAGAAAAGAAGUUGUGGCCGACUGAAUUGCAAGAACCGUAUAAUAGAAGCGAUGUUUGGACUAAAAUCCUGACGUCUGAAGACGAGGAAUUCGUCUUAGAUUCGAAUAUAAUUCAAUUUCGAAAGAUGUUAGCAGAUCAGGGGUUUUCCCUGAAUAUAGUUUUAAAAACGAUUACGAAUUUGUAUAGUAUACUAGAUGAUGAUUUUGCUCGUAAAAUAGCAUUUAUCGCAAAGAUUCCGAAAAAUAGGGAUGAAAUUGCUUCAGCAUUUGAAUCUGUUAGAUAUAUACCGGAUGCCGGUGAAGUAGAUUUGCUGGACAGUAUAUUGAAACCCUUACCAAGACCGAAGAUAUCCCCUGGAGAUAAGUUUAUUGUAACUCAUAUUAGUCCCAUCGAAUAAAAAUACAAAAACAAUUUGUAAAAA